Molecule: long non-coding RNA, 3824 nt
Filed under: Aquilegia coerulea
Lineage: Eukaryota; Viridiplantae; Streptophyta; Magnoliopsida; Ranunculales; Ranunculaceae
Description: long non-coding RNA (ACOE_LNC000789)
Source: RNAcentral
UCCCAUGCCAUCCAUUACCAAACUUGCCUAUAUAUAGUUGAGCUUAGUACAUGAAAAUAUAGUAUCACAACAAGCUUUCUAAGUUCAUUUGUCUAUCUACUUUUUCAGUUUACUACCAAUCUUUCUUCAUCCUUCAUCAUGUCUAACACCUGCGGAAACUGUGACUGUGCUGACAAGACCAACUGCCCGUAAGUAUUCUUACUUCAACCUGUUUCCUUACAGUCAGUAUGUUAGGUUUUCUGUAAUAGAUUCAUACAUAUGCUCCUGUAUCAGUUCCCUUCAAUUCGCUUAUAUUUUCAUGUAGGAAAGAGACUUCUGUCUAUAAGGUGGUUUAUUUAUCUAUAACUAUGGUUUUGGCAUUUUUUCAUUCUGUUUUCGGCGAGGAAGAAUCCAACUAAGCUUUGUUAUUAAUAUGAUUUUAUCCCAAGUUUCUGUCUUGUUGGAUUGAAGAAAAGAAGACUUUCUCUAACAUAUAUGUCAUAGAUAUCAGUAGCUAUAUCAGUGAAAGAUAUCAGACUGAGAAGUGUGUGAACUGGUCGUGUUUUAAUGGAACUUCUUAUUUAUUAGCAAAGUGCCUAAUUUUUAACAUAACAUAAACAAGAUAAGGAAGAAGGUUCACAAUAUAUGUUGUUGUAAGCCUAUAACUGCAAAUGUGCAGAAAGUUAAACGACUUCAUAUUAUCUCUUUAUCGCUUUCUGUUUGUCGCUUUUAAGAUCCUUGGAUGAGGUUUUGUCGAAUAUAGGGUUUUGCAGUCUGCCAUAUUUGCAUUUAUCAAUAUGUGUAGGUGCACCAUAUAUAGGUAUGGUUCUCUAAAGGUUUAGACGUACUUUAACUCUUACUUUUGUAACACUUCUCAGUUGUUGCAUGUAUGCAGUGUAAAGCCUUAGACACUUGCAUCAUAACCUAUGCAGACCAUAUAGUUCAUGCAGGCAAAAUAGAUAAACAUAAGUACUUUGCUAAUUUGUUUCAUGGCAAUUGCAGUAAAAAGGGAAACAGCUAUGGUGUCCAGAUCGUUGACACCGAGAAGAGGUACUUAAGCUUUCCAAACUUCCAGAACAUAACAUGUUUCUCAAUGACCUUUAUUUCCUAUUGAAUGGUGUUCUAUAACAUAGCACUAUCAUAUUAAACACCUCUAUUGUAUUUUCUAAUGGGCUUAAUUUUGUUAUCUUGUAUUUGACAGCUACUACGACGUUGUUGCUGAAGUUCCAGCAGGUGAGAACGAUGGCAAGUGCAAGUGCGGACCAAGCUGCAGCUGCGUGAACUGCACUUGUGGUAGCCACUAAGUAAUAUCCUGGACACUCAUCAUCAUGUGAUGUGAAAAUGGUGUGAUUGUAUACGUGUUACUGAAUAAAAGGUGCAGUGCACUUGUGUCGUUGCUGUUUAUGUUUGUGUUUGUGCAUGUUUUAGUGUUGAUGUGAAGUGUCAAACAUGUAUGGAUGUGUGUCUGGUGUAAUACUCUUCAGUGUUUCUGUUGUUUAAUGAAUUAGUAUAUAGUGAAAAUUACUUUCUCAGUAGUUACAGAAUACUAAGUAUCUAUUUCACCCAACCAUCCAUCUAAUGACGAGUGCAAAGAAUCGUUAUCCCUGUCAUUUAUUCCACCACAUAAACUUUUGAAAGGAAUUUCAUCUUGUUGUAAGGUUUUCAGUAUAUUAAGACCACUAUCUACUUUUGCACAUUUCUGUUCCGAUCUUUUUAGUUAAAUUCUAGUUAGACUACUUUUAGUUUACAGGAUAUUUCUGCAAUCAGCUUAUACAUAGAUGGGAUCUCCCAUGGGACGAUUCCAUAGUCAUUGCUAUACUCUUCCAUGCCUUCAACCAUACACUGCCAAGAAAGGCCUCAUGCACCUGCUCCAUUAUUCUUUGCUGACUCGAAAAUGACGUCGAAAACAGUUCGAAAUCCUUGUCCUUGUUUGACAGACCAAAUUCAUUAUCAUCAAUAUGAGAGUGGAUCCAUUUUCUGACAAGUUUCAGUUUGUCUUCAAGUUCUGCUCUAUGAUCCUGGACAAGAAUGGUAUAAUAUUUUGUUUACGUAUUACAAAUGUAUGUAUUAGAAUGAAAGUAUUUUAAAGUUGGAUUUCGGUGGUUAUUACCAUCGAUCAACAAAAAUACGAGCAGAGGCAAAAUCUACAUUUAAGAUAAUCACCCAAUCUCCAGAAUUAACAUUUAAAUUUUCAGGGCUUGAAGGACCAUAAAAGCCUUCUAGACCAUCAGUACGUAAAUAGAUGAUUCUUGCCAAAUGAUUUCACAAAGCUGGCCAUUUCUGCAAUCCAAUGCAGCAAUGCUGCAAUUCUUUAUCAGUGAACUUUAUACCCUAAUCAUAAGCAAUAGCAGCAUUCUUACCUUCAUCCUAGAAAACAAUUGGUAUAAAUUACUUGCAGUAUGUUGCAUGGAGGAUCCGUCUUGCAGCGGGGCUCGUUCAUCAACUAAGACAGUAGGGUCAUCUCUAUAAUGAUUUCCAGUUAUAGUUUCUUUCUUUUGAAGCUUGGAAUCCAUUGUGAGUUGUAAAUUCCUUUGAAGUGGCAUCAAUGGCGGCUUGAACGGCUAUGCAAAUGUUUCUCUCCAACUCCUUGUUGGUUUACUUCUUUUGGAGCAAUUGAAUUUUAAGAAAAUCUUUUUGUUGCAGAUAACCAGAUUAGACACCAUUUAGUAUUAUUUCCUCAGGACUCCGAAUUGCAAACCAUUGAUUGAGUUAGAUAUAUGACAUUAGGACUCGUAGAUCUUUCCAACAAGCUAUAGAACGCAAAAUGGGUCAUAAUAGAGCCUGUAGAAGCUUGCAAAGUUGACAUGUUGUUUUGCUAUAUGGACAAAAACUGGUUGUGAAGAAAGAAGAAGAAAGAGAUCGAUGUAGAAAUUUCUCAAAGAAGAAGAGAUGCAAGGUUAGAAAGCUAGACGACGGUGAAGAAUUAAGCUUGGAAUCCACCAAGUAAAAUAGAAGAAAAGAAUCUUCCAUAUAGCUUGAUCCAUCAACCAAUACAAAUUCCAUCAAUUAACAUAGAAAGCCUUCGAUCUUAACAUGAGCUGAUGAUACAGGUGUAUUCUAUUAGGAGCUUAGUGAGGAUAGACAUUUCUAUUAGGAGCUUAGUGAGGAUAGACAUUUUGCCACUCUUUCAGGACGACGCUGCAGGUCCAGGGCGCAGCGCCUGGCUGGGGUCAAGGUCUAUAGAAAGGUGUUUUGGCCAAAGCCAAAAUAUAAGAGAGGCAGCUACGGCUUAGCUUGUUUAGAGAGUAUUGUGAGGCAAAGAUUCUUGUAAUCUUCAUAAUAUCAAACAAUCAAUUGCGAUCGUUUUUUCCUCUAGAAAAAAGAUUUAAAUGAAGAUAAUAUCAUGGUUGUCUUUUUGUGUAUGAGAGAAAUCAAACACUUCUUUAUAAGGUAAGUGAAGAUGACAUGGGAAGCCAAUAAGAAGCCACACAUGUUCCAUUAUUGAGAUUCCUUGCGAUAAUUUUCGCAGAGGCGUGUGCUCCUCACAAGUCUUUGUAUGUCCCCAUACAUUUCAUGACAUCCAUAACCAAACUUUGCCUAUAUAUAGUUGAGCUUAGUACAUGAUAUAUAAUAUAGUAACCCAACAAGCUUUCUAUAAUUUCAUUUGUCAAUCUACUUCAGUUUUAUUACAACCAAUCUUCUUUAUCUUUUAUCAUGUCGAACACCUGUGGAAACUGUGACUGUGCUGACAAGACCCAGUGCCCGUAAGUGUUCCUACUUCAACCUAUACUCUUUAGGUAUCCUCCUAGACCAGUUCCCUUUGCCUAUAUCUUUUCAUUUAGGAAAGAGGCUUCUGUCUAUAAGAUGUUUUCGUUCUGUUUUUGUCGAGGACGAAUAUGAUUUUU